RNAcentral lists this ribosomal RNA (273 nucleotides) under Triticum aestivum (bread wheat). Its description in RNAcentral is "partial small subunit ribosomal RNA". Lineage: Eukaryota; Viridiplantae; Streptophyta; Magnoliopsida; Poales; Poaceae. The record is from RNAcentral.
AUGUCCCCACUAUGGAAAGCCCCCGUCCCUUUAAAGAUUAAGAUUUUUGUUUGGCAACUUCUACAGGAUCGCCUUCCCUCGGGGACAGAGGUACUUAAGUGGCACGGACCUGGUGAUGGUCUAUGCCCUCUCUGUGCGGUACCAGAGACCGGGACACAUAUCCUCUUCUCGUGUACCGUAGCAAGGGUACUUUGGACGUAUGUCCGCGAGGUGUUGGGGCCUGAAUGGGAGGCCCUAAAUCUCGCGGAGUUUCUCCAACAUAGAGCUCUUUAA